CAACAGAUUCUCCACGAACCUCAAAUGUGCUACCAUGAGAAAGUAAAACUUGAAGUGACCUUGCUAUUGAAGUCUCCUUUUGCAAUUUUUCCUCUUUUGAUGGUGUUAACUUUGUCAUCCACUGAUUGGAUUCCACCCGACGAGUAUAAAUUGAUUCCAUAAUUUUGCCUCUUAAUGCAUCAAUCAUUUGAGUUAUUGGCAAUUCGUGUGCCUCUGAUACCCAACUGUAGAACUGUUGCCCAAAGUUUGAUGUCAUGUGGUUAUACCUUGCUCCUCCAAAGAAGGCAUUUGCCCAGUGUUCUGGCUCACUCUGUAUCACCCAGUUAUAAGCUUCGGGGGAGAUGCCUUUUAUGUUCUCUACAGAUCGCUGGAAUCCCUCAAGUCUGGGUGCAUAUGCUGCAGCAUAAAAAUCAUUUAUCAUGAAGCGUCUUGCUUCAUGAGAAAACUGCCCCUUUAAGUCUCUAUUUAGUUUCUCAGCGAGAUGACGCAAACAAUAGCUGUGGUAGCAUUUAUCAAAAACUGCAGCCAGUGAUUUCUUUAAACCAUUCUGAAAAUCAGCAACAAAUGUAAUCUGACGAGAUGUAGAGACAGCAGACUUCAGUUCCAAUAAAAACCAAUGCCAGUUGUCCUCUGAAUCAAUAUCCACUACAGCAAAAGCUACAGGAAAAAUACCAUCAUCCCCAUCGACUGAAAUAGCAGCCAACAACAUUCCUUGAUAUUUUGAGUUUAAAGAAGCACUGUCAAGGAAAAUGAGAGGACGACAACCUUGUUCAAAGCCAGUUAUUGAUGCAUGAAAUGAGACAAAGAAACGAUGGAAACUCGAGUCAUCUUUUGUGGAGAAUGUAGCAAUACUGCCUGGAUUGGUUUCCUUUAUUCUUUCACAAAAAAAUGGCAACUGAUUAUAUGCCUCUUUAUAUGAGCCUUGAAGCUGCUCUCUUGCAAUCUCUUUUGCACGCCAUGCCUGAGAAUAAUUCAGUUGAAUCCCAUACUCCCGUUUGAUAUCAUCCGCAAUGUCUUUUGGCCUGUAGUUCGGGGCAACUUUCAGUUUCUCCUUUAUGAUACUUCCCACCCAACCCCUUGUUGCUCGAUACCCAGCUUUCACAGCAGCUCCUUCACAUGUAUGUUCUACAUUCAUUUUCUUGAUACAAAUUAAUUGAGUGGUUGACAACCUGGAUGCAUAUAUCCGCCAAGGACAACCUUGGGAUUUGCAUUUGACAGUAACACGAUGACUGUCAUUCUUCUUAUAUCUGUAAGCAAAUCCAUGUGCAAUUGAAUACUUAUGCAAAGCUUCUCUGAAUUCAGCAAAACUACUAAACCUUUGAUCAACACCAGUAAUGGUGUUUUCCCA
This 1348-nucleotide unclassified non-coding RNA is filed under the name Hevea brasiliensis (rubber tree). Lineage: Eukaryota; Viridiplantae; Streptophyta; Magnoliopsida; Malpighiales; Euphorbiaceae. The record is from RNAcentral.